UUGGGGGUUGAUGAUGCUGCAGU
This 23-nucleotide non-coding RNA is filed under the name Cricetulus griseus (Chinese hamster). The record is from RNAcentral. Lineage: Eukaryota; Metazoa; Chordata; Mammalia; Rodentia; Cricetidae.